GACGAACGCUGGCGGCGUGCUUAACACAUGCAAGUCGAACGAUGAAGCUGGAGCUUGCUCCAGUGGAUUAGUGGCGAACGGGUGAGUAACACGUGAGCAAUCUGCCCUUGACUCUGGGAUAACUGCGGGAAACUGUAGCUAAUACCGGAUACGACACCUUGGGGCAUCCCGGGGUGUGGAAAGAAUUUCGGUCAAGGAUGAGCUCGCGGCCUAUCAGCUUGUUGGUGAGGUAAAGGCUCACCAAGGCGACGACGGGUAGCCGGCCUGAGAGAGUGACCGGCCACACUGGAACGGAGACACGGUCCAGACGCCUACGGGAGGGAGCAGUGGGGAAUAUUGCACAAUGGGCGAAAGCCUGAUGCAGCAACGCCGCGUGAGGGAUGACGGCCUUCGGGUUGUAAACCUCUUUUAGCAGGGAAGAAGCGAAAGUGACGGUACCUGCAGAAUAAGCACCGGCUAACUACGUGCCAGCCGCCGCCGUAA
RNAcentral lists this ribosomal RNA (483 nucleotides) under uncultured bacterium. Its description in RNAcentral is "partial 16S ribosomal RNA". It matches the Rfam family "Bacterial small subunit ribosomal RNA", at positions 28 to 523 of the family's 1533-position model. The record is from RNAcentral.